UACGUAGGGUGCGAGCGUUAAUCGGAAUUACUGGGCGUAAAGCGUGCGCAGGCGGUUCGUUAUGUCCGAUGUGAAAGCCCCGAGCUCAACUUGGGAAUGGCAUUGGAAACUGGCGGGCUGGAGUGUGGCAGAGGGGGGUGGAAUUCCACGUGUAGCAGUGAAAUGCGUAGAGAUGUGGAGGAACACCGAUGGCGAAGGCAGCCCCCUGGGCCAACACUGACGCUCAGGCACGAAAGCGUGGGGAGUAAACAGG
RNAcentral lists this ribosomal RNA (253 nucleotides) under uncultured bacterium. Its description in RNAcentral is "partial 16S ribosomal RNA". It matches the Rfam family "Bacterial small subunit ribosomal RNA", at positions 524 to 776 of the family's 1533-position model. The record is from RNAcentral.